AUGGCAGAACCGACUGACACGCAGAGCCACGAUUGGAAUUCCCUCCCCGAUGUUCUCUUGGAGCAGAUCUGUAAUCGUAUGGACCUACUCAGCACCGUCCGUGUGGCCGCAUGCUCGUCGAAGAAGGAUUGGCUGGUGCUGCCGGCUGGUGUCAAGUUCGAUCCCACGGAUCAAGAGCUGAUCGAGCACCUUGAGGCCAAAGUGAGUGCUGACAGCGCGAGAUCUCACCCUCUCAUCGAUUUGUUCAUACCAACCAUCGACAGCGAGCACGGCAUAUGCUACACCCAUCUUGAGAAACUUCCAAGUAUCACACUGAGUGGCCUAAGCAAGCAUUUCUUCCAGCGCAAUUCCAGGGCGUUCAAAAGGGGCACGUGGACGCGUCGCAAGAUACAGUCGGAGUGCAGCAUGCACGCGAUGUGGCACAACACCGGCAAUACCUUGCCGGUGAUGGUCAACGGCCGGCAGACGGGCAGCAAAAAGGUUCUGGUGCUACACCAACAAGAACUUCGACCAGCAGAGGACCAACUGGGUGAUGCACCAGUACCACCUCGGGGACCUGGAGCAAGAGAAGGAGCGGGAGCUGGUCCUCUGCAAGAUUUUCUACCAGACGAACACUAG
RNAcentral lists this ribosomal RNA (618 nucleotides) under Triticum aestivum (bread wheat). Its description in RNAcentral is "partial small subunit ribosomal RNA". Lineage: Eukaryota; Viridiplantae; Streptophyta; Magnoliopsida; Poales; Poaceae. The record is from RNAcentral.